Molecule: ribosomal RNA, 267 nt
Filed under: uncultured archaeon
Lineage: Archaea
Description: partial 16S ribosomal RNA
Rfam family: Archaeal small subunit ribosomal RNA
Source: RNAcentral
AGUCACUGACAUUAGAUACCCGCCGUAGUCCAGGGUGUAAACGCUGCAGACUUGGUGUUGGAGGCCCUUUGGGGGUCGAUUCAGUGCCGGAGAGAAGUUGUUAAGUCUGCUACUUGGGAGUACGUCCGCAAGGAUGAAACUUAAAGGAAUUGGCGGGGGAGCACCGCAACGGGAGGAGCGUGCGGUUUAAUUGGAUUCAACACCGCAAAACUCACCAGGGAAGACUGUUACAUGAAGGCCGAGAUGAAGACUCUGCUAGAUUUUCAG